CCCUUUGGAAGCAUGUGCGCUCUUUGGAAGGACACAUGCCCCUGUCUGAAAGAUUCAUGUUUUUUUCACAUGGGUCUCCACUCUCUCACUCUCAUGUAGGAAGUUUGGCUGCUGGAUAACCUAGCUUGGCUGCAUGAGAAGUGGAACUGCCACAGGAUGUCAAAAUGAAAGGAUGAAACAUCUAGGAGAGUCUUCGGUAUGAUCACAGCCCUUGGAGGAAAAAAUGAUUCUUUUAAAAGCACAAAUACUAGAUCAAGGACUUGAUAUAUCCAAGGGAUCUUUUUCUGCCCUGAGCAAGGGUGAAAACUCCAAAGCUCCAAAGCAAUGGAAAUCUCCAGAGAUGUCCACGCCAAAUAGGUUCUUGCCUGUCCUUAUUCAAAAGGCUAUUUAUCCUUCUCAAGGCUUGUGAAGUGAUUUUCAUGAAAUGAAAACCGCUGUUUGCAAAACAAGAAGUCAAGGAGUUUUACUCUGGGAGGCAUCAAAAACAAGAACUGCAAAGUUUUUCAAAAUAAAAUGUUUCAUAUAAGAAAAAAUUGAAAUAAU
RNAcentral lists this long non-coding RNA (543 nucleotides) under Anas platyrhynchos platyrhynchos (common mallard). RNAcentral describes it as "lncRNA (ENSAPLG00000022624.1)". Lineage: Eukaryota; Metazoa; Chordata; Aves; Anseriformes; Anatidae. The record is from RNAcentral.